UGGUUUUUAACGCCACAGUUAAUAAAGAAAGUUGAAAUAGGUUAUUGGGAGAACAUGUUAAAUCCUUUGUCUCUUAAGUUUUUACAACUUUUAUAUACAUCUCUCUCCCUCUGUUGGAUUGAAUUGACUUACUAGCUAAGAGGGGGUUUAUUGUUGUUGCCUUUUCAAAAAUUUAUUACAUUUGGUGCUGUUAUUUUAGCAAUAUCUUAUGUAGAUGCACCCUAAUUCUUGUCUUAGGGACAAAGUUUCACCUGGGGGCAUGGGUUUGAGAGAUCAAGGCAGCUGGUUUUGUUUCUUUACCUUCCUCGGAUUCUUAUUUUCGUUACUUGUUCAAUAUCUUGAAUUCUGUGGUCUGUCUUUCCAUUGAUGUCUUGCUUUAGUCCACAUUAUGUAGUGAUUAUCAGGAUUUUGAGCAGUUACUGCAGUUGCCUUGUUUGGUGAUUUUUUUUUCUCUUAUUUCUUUUUAAAAUUUUAUAUAAGUCUCUUCUCCCCCUCCCCCCCCCCCCCUCUCUCUCUCUCUCUCUCUCUCUCUCUCUCUCAAUAUCUCUGUAUUUCACCCCCUAAAUUGGUCAGGUAUUAUGUAUUUUACAGGUUCCUUCUGUUGGGUUUGAAUUGACUUACUACCUAAAAGGGGGUUUAAUGAUGUUGCUUUUUGUUUCCCAUUUCAAUUUUUCUAUACAUUUGGUGCUGUUAUUAUAGCAAAUAUCUCAUGUAGUUGCACCAUAAUUCUUAGGGACAAAGUUUCACCUAGGUGCACCAGUAUGAGAGCUCAAGGCUGCUGGUUUUGUUUGUUCACCUUCCUUGGUUUCUUAUUUUUGUUACUUGUUCAAUAUUGUGAAUUUUGUGGUCUGUUUUCUGUACGUAAGUCCACAUUACGUAGUGAUUAUCAAGAUGUUGAGCAGUUCCUGCAGUUCCCUUGUUUGGUGAUUUUUUUUGCAGGAAUUUGGUUUUAGAAGUUUACGCUCCAGUUAAACGAAAGUGGUAAUAGGUUAUUGGGAGAAUAUGUUGGCGUUUUGGUUUUUGAUGAAAUUGUUUCAUUCUUUACUCGUUCAAUGCCCUAAAUUAUGGGGCGAACAUGUUAAAUAUUUUAUCGUUUACCCCUAUGUCACCCCUAACUUAAUAUUAGGUAUGAUGUAUUUUUCAUGGUUCUUCUGUUGUGUUUGAAUUGACCUACUACCUGAGAGGGGGUUUAAUGCUAUUCCCUUUUGUUUUCCAUUUAAAAAAUUUAUACAUAUGGUCCUGUUAUUUUAGCAAAAUGUUAUGUUGAUGCACCCUAAUUCUUGUCUUAGGGACAAAGUUUCACCUGGGGGCACCGGUUUGAGAGCUCAAAGCCACUGGUUUUGUUUGUUCACCUUGUUUCUUACUUUUGUUAUUUGUUCAAUAUCGUUUCUGUGGUGUUGUUUUUCCGUUGGUGUCUUGUGCAGACUUGCUUUAGUCAGCAUUAUGGAAGUCUAUCAGGAUUUUGAGUAGUUACUGCACUUACCUUGUUUUGUGAAUUUUGCAUGAAUUUGAUUUUGAAGGUUUACGCUGCAGUCAAAUGAAAGAAGAAAUGGGUUAUUUGGUGAAUGUGUCGUCGUUUUGUUUUUGGUGAAAUUGUUUUAUUCUCUGCUCAUUUGAUGUCCUAAAUUAUUGGGAGAACAUGUUAAAUAUUUUUCUUUUAUUGUUUUAUUUUUUUAUAUUUUUUAUAUCAAGUAUAUAUCUCUCCCUCUAUCCCUUAAUUAAUAUUUGGUAUUAUGUAUUUUCAGGUUUCUUCUGGUGGGUUUGAAUAGAAAUGCUACCUAAGAGGAGGUUUAAUGUUGUUGCCUUUUGUUUUACAUUUCAAAAUUUUAUUACAUUUGGUGCUUGUUAUUUUAGCAAUAUCUUAUGUAGAUGCACCGUAAUUCUUGUCCUAGGGACAAAGUUUCAACUUGGUGCACGGAUUUGAGUGGAGUUCAAGGCCGCUGGUUUUUAUUCACCCUGCUUGGUUUCUUAUUUUUCCAUAGCUUUCUACUCUUUUGAUAUGGUUAUAUGCUUGCUCCUUUACUCUUUGUCAAAGCGAUUUUUUAAACCUCUAUUGAUACCCAGAAAAUCAUAAAUCCGUGUGUCUCUCUCCUUUUCCUUAUAAUCAUGAUAAGCAUUUUGCUCUUCUAUUGACAAAUACUAAAUUGUGAUUUAGUUCAAUAGUCUGCCUUCUGGUUAUGCAUCUUGUUUUCUUGGUAUGUUCUAAUCGGAUUUUAUGUCUUCAAUCUUGGCAUAUGGGGGAAUAUGUUCAAAAUCACCAUUAAUCUUUUUUUCUUGGUUCGAAGAUAUAAUGUUAUGAUGUUUUGAUUACAGAUGCUGAAUAUGUCUUACUUCCUUCUGUGCUGCCAUGUAUUUGUUCGAUAUAUGUUGCUUUAUGGUCUUUAAGCUAUUAGAUAAUUACCGCCAAACAGUGCUUUAGCUUUUAUGUUUCGUCUUUUCUUCCGUUGGUUUAUUUCUAAGGUUGUCAUUACUUAUAUUUGGUCUCCCAAAUUGUAUAGCAGUCUGGCUUGACAUUCUCUUUAUGAUGAUUCCCUAUUUUCGUGAUUAUGGAGAGGCAUUUAAAGUUUAUGACACUGUUGUGGGGAGCAGAUUCUGGUUUGGUUUCUUAACAAGAACAUGUCAAUUUCCUAUUUUUAAAUUCUCUCUUUCUCUCACUCAGGUAUCUUCAGUGGGGUUCUAAUUGGCAUACUAUUUAAGAGGGGGUUUAAUUCUUCUUUCCUUUUGUUUCCCAUCUUUAAGGAUUUAUAAGAUUUGGUGCGUUAUUUAGCAAUAUCUGAAGUAGAUGCAUCCUAAUUCUUGUCUUAGGGACAAAGUUUUCCUUGGGGCAUGGCAAUGAAUGGAGCUCAUGGCUGCUGGUUUUGUUUAUUCACCCUUCUUGCUUUCUUGUUUCUUUUACAUGUUCAAUAUCGGUGAAUUCUGUGGUUGUGUUUCCUUUGAUGUCUUAUGCAGAUGAAUCUGUUGCUUUAGUCUGGAGUAUCAGGAUUUUGAGUAGCUUCUGCAGUUGCCUUAUUGACCCUGUUUGCUUUCUUAUUUCUGUUACGUGUUCAAUAUCGUGAAUUCCGUGGUUGCCUUUCCCUUCGUGUCUUAUGCAGAUGCAUCUCUUGCUUUAGUCUGGAGUAUCAGGAUUUUGAGUAGCUUCUGCAAUUGUUCUGUUUGGUGAAAUUUUGCAGGAAUUUGGUUUUAAAGGUUUACGUUGCAGUUACUUCUUGGCUUAUAAUUUAAUUUCUUAUUUCUUUGAUGUCUGGAACCAUCUGUUUAUGCAGAUUGCAAAUCUUGUCUCUCUAUGGAAAUCUUGCCUAACUAUAAGAGGGGUCUUUUAUCCGAUCUUUUUUAUUCGUACCGUCUGUAUAAUGUGGGGCACAUUGUCUGAGCUAUAUUUCUGCCUGCAGGCGUAUCCUAACUCGUGUCUAUAUAUGGAGGUCUCACUUUCUCGAACGAGUUUUAAGAAGGGGUUUGAGUAGUUUUUGGCUUAUGAUUUUGUUUCUUAUUUCUUGGUGUUUAUGAGGUAUGGAACCAUUAUUUGAGCACUCUUUUAUGCAGAUGCAUCCUAAUGUUUGUCGGUUGCUGGAGUCUCACACUGUUGAAAGAAAAAAAGGGGUUUUCUGAGUUAUUAUCUGAUUUUAUAUUCUUGGAGCCCGUAUGACAUCCUAAGACAGGUUUUAAGCAAUGUCUUUAUAAGCAGACCAUUACAAUUGUCUUCUUGUGGGGUCUGAUUCCUUGAAGUAGAACGAGCGGCCUUUAAGAAAGGGUUUGAGUGGUUCUCUGCUUAUGAUUUAACUUCUUACACGAGCCAUUAUUUGAGUAAUGUUAUCUUUUAGAGUUUGAUGCAUCUUGUGUAUUGGUGAAGAUUUUAUAAGAUCUGGUACCAUUGUUCGAGCAAUAUUCUAUGCAAAUGCAAUUUAACUCGCCCGUGUAUGGAGUUUUACUUUGUUUAAGGACAGCAGGGAGGCUACCAACAGUGAAUUUCUUCGCCCUGUUAUUUGAUUUCCUGGUCUUAAGAAACCCCCGCCCUAUAUGCAACACAUACUAACUCUUGUCUUGUACAUGCAGUCCAACAUUGUUGACAGAGAAGAGCUUCUUCCCGGGGGGGUUUCUUAUCUUAUUAUCUAUUAUCUAUUUCUGGAUUUAGAGAUCUUGGGCCAUGAUUUGCACCAUUACUUUCCAUUCUAUGGGGUCCAACUUUGUUGAAGGAAAUCGCUUUUAAGAGGGAGUUGAGUAGUAUGGCCUUAUGAUUUAAUUUCUUCUUGGGUUUAUGAGAUUCGACACUUUAAUUGGGCGUUCUUUUGUGCAGAUGCAUCGUAGCUCUGCUCUGUUUCUGGAUCUUUUUUCCUCACAUGUUGGGCUUUGUUGAUUUUUGUGUUGUGCUUUAAUGUCUCAGUUUUAAAGGAGUUAUGAGAUGCAUCCUUGUUCUUGUGUGCGAAAGAGAGUAACUUAAUUCAUGACUGGACUCCUUUCUUAAGGAGGUUACGCUGCGUCAUAUCUUUGUUGUGGAUCUCUUUUUCGAGGAGGGUUUCAGGAGUUCAAUUUCAAGUUAAUGUUAAUGGCGAAACCUCAGGAGCAGGUGUCAUGCCGAGUUUUGUUUUCCGUUAUGUAUUUUAUUCAGUAUCCUGAACCUUUGAACCUUUGGGCUAUUAUUCAGUCAUUGUCUCAUGCAGAUGCUCGUUGUUCCAAGUCUUAUUAGAGUUGAGUUGAUGAGGAUGAUCUUUCGAGUGACAAUCAGAACUUGUGGCACGGUGCCUGGUUUUACAUAUUUGCCUUCUUGUUUUCUUGAUACAUUUCUUUUCGAAUGGUUAUAUGUUAUGGUGUUGUCAGUGUUUUUUGCGGUAGUUCAUGGAUUUUCCUGUGCGGAAGUUUUGUAGCUCAGAGUCUUGGAUCUGCAUUGAUUCCUUGAGAAACACACUCCACAUUUGGUUUCUUAUUCAUUUGUCUUCUUUCAUGGGGUUUAUCCUUCCUGGCUUGAUAGUUCAACAUAUUCUUAUGGUGAUGGGUUCAUUCUUUUCUUUCAACUUAAUUAUAUUCUCUCAAACUUUACUUUUAUUUCUGUUUUUUAAAAGAUAACUUAUUACAGAUUUUGAAUUUCGUGUAGGGGCCUCAAGAUCCUUAAUCUUUUUUGACUCUGCGCCUCUCCCAUUCAUUUCUAUAUUGUGCUGGUCUUUAAUUAAUUCACACAUUUUAAGGUUUGGCAGAUGCUCGUCUUUAUUGGUAUUGCUGUUUUUGUCUGUUCAAAUGUCUGUUUUGUCUGGUUGAAGGUGGAUUCAAUGCAGUAUGUGCAGCUUUGUGCAAUACUUUGGCCAUUCGGGGUUGGAUAUUCUUUGGUGCUUCUCUUUUUUUUUUCUUCUAUUCUUUGCCCUUUUCAGAAGGGCACUUGUUAAGAUAUUUGGUCGUUCAUUUGAUAUUUUAUUGAUGGGUGGAUAUAAUCUGGCACCACCAUUUGAUCUGAUGCAAUGUGUUUGCAGUUGCAUCCAAACUUGUCUUUUACUGGAGUUGCACUUUGUCAGAGCCUAGAACAUCUCUUUUAAGAGGUGGUUUUAUGUUUCUUUGCUUGCGAUUUAGUUCUCUGUAGACCAUAAAUGUGGCAUUUUUGAGCAAAUGUAUUAUGCAAAUUCAUUUCGCAUCAAGUAAAUGGAAUGGGUAUUCAAGCAAACCAACGGAAUCAUGGAUUUGGGCAUGUGCGACGGUCAAGAGGAAUGGGAGUUGCCUUUGUUGAGUGUACGUCUUUCCUUUUGGUCUCAUCUUCAUUAGAAUGUGGACUGCUUUUAGUAGUGUCCACUCUUGGCUUAACUUUCUUCUUGGAUAUUCAGUCUGUAUAUUGUCAGCUUGCUCUUGAGGCCUGGGAGAAUGGGGAUGCUCUUAAGAGGUGUCUGGUACUUCCUGGCUUAUGGUUUAUUUUUGUCAGAUUUUAUCAUAUAUGAUUCAAGCAAAGAGUUCUGUGCAGCAACUUUUGUCUCUUAAUGGAGUCCUAGGGUUUAUAGGAGGAGGGCAGGCUGCUGAUUGUUUUAAGAGGGAGUAGGAAUGUGGUAUGCAGAUUGAUGUCUUUGGAUGCAGUGAAGUAUCAUUGGACUGUAGAGCAGCACUUGCUGACACAUAAACUGAGUAUGACUUUGAUCUUCGUUGAUGGAACUGUUCUUUGAGGGGUCGUGAGAUUUGAUUUUGUCGUUUACAUAGUAUCUUAUUUCCAAUUUGUAUCGAAGUUUUAUUCAUUGAUCUCGUUUUAGCCGAGGUUUUCUCAUGUUCAAGUUAACGGGAUUGAUUUGUCAGCUGAAAUGGAUAGGAUGACUUGCUUUCAUUGUCUUUGGAUUUCAGCGUUUCGAUCUUAAUUAGCUUAGCUUCUAUGCCUUGCUCGAUUUUUCCAGAAUAUGGCCUGAGGGUUUAUCUUUUCCUUUGAUUUGAUUGCUUCUCUCAAAGUCUCCUUUCAUAUAUAUAUAUAUAUAUAUAUAUAUAUAUAUAUAUAUAUAUAUUUUUCUGAGUACAGAUGCUAAUAUUUGCAUAUACCUUUUCGGGUUUUAUAGGGUUGGAGGUGGUGGUUUGUGGUCUGCUAAAGGGUUUGGAUUUUGUCUUAAACAUAGUGACCUGUUGGCAUUUUUGGGUGCAAGUGCUGGUUUGCUUUUGCUGGUUCUUUUGUUGUGGCAUAUUACUCUUUUUUUUUCCUGGCAGGCUAAAGUUGCUUAAGUUCGUGAUGGGUCAGUAUGUUGGAUAUUUGAAAUUUCUGGGCAGAGUAGUCCAUUGUAGAAGGUUGGGUUUUUUUCCUGCUGAUCCGUUUAGGUUACACGUGGGGUUGUUUGACAAGUAAACGAUCUGGCAUAAUUAUAUGGGUCGUGUUUUAUGCAGAAGCAGUCUCAUUCUUUGAGGGCUCCGUCUCAGAUUCAAGUUUAUGCACAGAACUGAUAGAACUGUUUUUUUAAACUGCUGAUGGAAAUAGAUGUGGUAUGAAGUGUGGUGUUUCCCUUACCUGUCUUCUUAGUUCCGUCAGCUGAUAGUCAAUACUUUUUUGUAUAACUGUUCCUUUAAAUAGCUUUUGUGUUCAUUUGGGUGGCUUGAUAGGAUCUGUCAUUCUUUUCUUCAUUUGGUGGUGCUUAUGCGUAGUCCAACUUAUUGAACAUUGCAAUCUGACACUCUUUCUAUGAUCAAUUUGACACUUUUAAAGCAUUUGAGUAUUAAUUAAGUAGUUAUUUGUUGGUAUCAAAUUACACAUUUGGAACUUUGGUGUGUUUUUCAUAUUUAUGCCCUUAUUAGUUGCUGGGUGUGUCUCUUUUAUUGGUUCAAUAAUGCUGUGGUCAAGCGUCAUUCGACUAUUCCCAGCUGCUUGCCGAUACAGGUCCUUCUUUAAGAACUGAUGUGAGUGUGAGUCUUGCUUUUAUGUAUGCAUAGCUUAUUUCGGAUCCUGCGAAAACCUUCAAUAUAACAAUGAACAAAUAUGCUUUAGCUGGAUUUUAAGCUCGUGAAGUGUGGAAGGGAUGAUAGGGAUGAGGUCCUCUGAGAGAUUGCAUUAAAUGUAAUUCUUAUCUCCAAUUUAUGACUAAGUAAUGAACUUACAAAGAGAACAUAUUAUGUAUUGAAAGAAUGUAGUCCUGGUUUAUCAUUUUGGAAUGAGCCCUUUACGUAGAUUGCUUAUUAUGGGAGGAAGAGAAUUUUUUUCUUGCUUUCGUUAAAGGAGAUUUCUGAACUAUGCGACAUUUCUUUUGAAGUAAUUUUUCUCUUUGGAUAUUCGAAAGUAUAUUUGUUAGACAUUUUGUUAAGUUGUUUAUCAAUUGUAUAAAGUCAACUUCUUGGUAGCUUUUUCUCUUUUAGAUUUGUUUGGCUUUUAGUAUGAUGGUUAUGUGCAUUGCUUUGUUUUUAGCAGCUGUCUGUUGUGUGUAUUUGUGUUUAGUUAGUUAGGUUUAAAGGGAUGUAGCUCAAAAUGGUAGAGCUCUCAGCUUGUAACCAAUGUGAACAAGUUACAAGACUUACGAGAAGAUCAAGGUUCGAAUCCUUGCUUCCCUGCACAUUAACAUAUUUGAUAGUUGCUGUUGAUGUGCGGAUGCUGUUGGUAGCUGACUAAAAUGGUGGUCUGGAUGAUCUGUUAGCUUAAGAACCUGAAUUGGCUGAUUUUCCGGUUUACCACAAGAUGUGGUUUAUUAUGUAAAAGCUUCAGGAAGCUCGAGUUUUAAGCCAACCUCUGCUGCUCUAAUUUGUGCUUCUCAUUUAUUCAUUUCAUACACUUUCUAACGUACAUGUUCACAUUUCUAUCAUUUCAAUUUCUGGCAAUCGAAAAUUUCAAUGUUUGGAUUUAUGUAUGUUGAAUUUUCUAAACGACCGAAUUUUGUAAAUGGCAUUGUGGAAAUUGUGAAAUGAUGCUUAUUUUGAUGGAAAUUAAACUCGGGAUUUAGAUGUCUCAUUUUUACGAUUUUUUUUGCGUGUCAUUUAAUAAAUUCCGUGCUUAAGUUGACAAGGGAAUUGUCAAUUUCUCCACUUAAAUUUUUGACUUUUACUCAAAUUUUCAAUCUAAUAAAAA
This 8491-nucleotide long non-coding RNA is filed under the name Prunus persica (peach). RNAcentral's name for it is "long non-coding RNA (PPER_LNC001415)". The stretch from base 7882 to 7980 matches the Rfam family "tRNA". The record is from RNAcentral. Lineage: Eukaryota; Viridiplantae; Streptophyta; Magnoliopsida; Rosales; Rosaceae.